RNAcentral lists this ribosomal RNA (244 nucleotides) under uncultured bacterium. RNAcentral describes it as "partial 16S ribosomal RNA". It matches the Rfam family "Bacterial small subunit ribosomal RNA", at positions 110 to 353 of the family's 1533-position model. The record is from RNAcentral.
GUAACACGUAUCCAACCUGCCGAUGACUCGGGGAUAGCCUUUCGAAAGAAAGAUUAAUACCCGAUGGCAUAGUUCUUCCGCAUGGUAGAACUAUUAAAGAAUUUCGGUCAUCGAUGGGGAUGCGUUCCAUUAGGUUGUUGGCGGGGUAACGGCCCACCAAGCCUUCGAUGGAUAGGGGUUCUGAGAGGAAGGUCCCCCACAUUGGAACUGAGACACGGUCCAAACUCCUACGGGAGGCAGCAUG